Molecule: unclassified non-coding RNA, 316 nt
Filed under: Hevea brasiliensis (rubber tree)
Lineage: Eukaryota; Viridiplantae; Streptophyta; Magnoliopsida; Malpighiales; Euphorbiaceae
Source: RNAcentral
AAAAAAAUAAAAUCUCAAUUCCCCAAUGGAGAACCAAACAAAGAAGAUAUAUACAAAAAAAAAAAACCACUGAAGAACCAGAAACAAAACCUUAGAAUUUUAUCAAACCACGCUGAAGAAACUAAAACAAAUCAAAACAGUCCUGACGUAGCCAGAAGUAAGAUAAGAAACACCCUUUAGGGAGCACUAAAAAAAAUCUCUUCAAAACUGUUUUUGUGAAUAGUGCCAUGAAUAAUAUCCAUGAAUAGUACCUAUAAAUAAUACCAAUAAACAAUACCUCAUGAAAAGCACCGAAACCUUAAUGAAUCGAAUCGAG